ACUGAGCUAACUGCCUCUAGUGGAAAAGGCAGGAGAGAUGAAGCUAGGCUCUCAUUAUUUACUGCUGAUUAGCCCAGCAACUAGAAACACAAAGAGGAACAAGGUGAACUGGAUGCCAGCUACGAAAGAUAUAAGUACUGUAUAAAAGUCUCUUUACUGGAACAGACUCUUUUCUAGCCGGAGACAUUGAAAUUUUUUCUCUAAUAUUUUGAAAUUAGAACUAACUCCCUCAAUGGACUCUGUUAUCCAUGUCUCUUGGGCACAGCUGUGAGAACUUUAGAGAUUACCCAUAAGUUGGUGUUUCUAGAUUCUUGUCUACCAGAGUAAGCUCUAUCCAGUUUCUAAGGCCAGUACUGAAGUAUUUAAAUCCUCCCCAAUUUAAUUCUAAGGAUUUCAACAUUGCCACCUUCUACUCAUCAGCUACGUUUAACUUGAGACAAGAAUUAAGGUUGUUGCAGACCCAUACUGAUUCGUCGCUGGUGACUUGGAUACUCUCCACCACUUACUGUCAUGCGCGUCCAUGUGAAGAGACCACCAAACAAGCUUUGUGUGAGUAAUAAAGCUUUUUAAUCACCUGGGUGCAGGAAGGCUGAGUCCAAAAAGAGAGUCAGCGAAGGGAGUUAGGGGUUGGGCCGUUUUAUAGGAUUUGGGUAGGUAGUGGAAAUUUAUAGUCAAAGGGGGUUGUUCUCUGGCGGGCAGGGGCGGGGCUCACAAGGUGCUCAGUUGGGG
RNAcentral lists this long non-coding RNA (729 nucleotides) under Homo sapiens (human). RNAcentral describes it as "HSALNT0034713". The record is from RNAcentral. Lineage: Eukaryota; Metazoa; Chordata; Mammalia; Primates; Hominidae.